Molecule: ribosomal RNA, 434 nt
Filed under: uncultured Fibrobacter sp.
Lineage: Bacteria; Pseudomonadati; Fibrobacterota; Fibrobacteria; Fibrobacterales; Fibrobacteraceae
Description: bacterial SSU rRNA
Rfam family: Bacterial small subunit ribosomal RNA
Source: RNAcentral
AUUAGCUAGUUGGCGGGGCAACGGCCCACCAAGGCGACGAUCGGUAGCCGGCCUGAGAGGGUGAUCGGCCACAUUGGGACUUGAGAUACGGCCCAGACUCCUACGGGAGGCAGCAGUAGGGAAUAUUGCACAAUGGGGGAAACCCUGAUGCAGCAACGCCACGUGUGGGAAGAAGCAUUUCGGUGUGUAAACCACUGUCAUGAGGGAAUAAGGCCCGCUUCGGACGGGAUUGAAUGUACCUUGAGAGGAAGCACCGGCAAACUUCGUGCCAGAAGCCGCGGUAAUACGAGGGGUGCAAGCGUUGUUCGGAAUUACUGGGCGUAAAGGGAGCGUAGGCGGAGAUUCAAGCGGAUUGUACAAUCCCGGGGCCCAACCCCGGUUCUGCAGUCCGAACUGGAUCUCUUGGAUAGUUCAGGGGCAGGCGGAAUUCCUGG